Molecule: transfer-messenger RNA, 401 nt
Filed under: uncultured Prevotella sp.
Lineage: Bacteria; Pseudomonadati; Bacteroidota; Bacteroidia; Bacteroidales; Prevotellaceae
Rfam family: transfer-messenger RNA
About the family: Bacterial tmRNA, also known as 10Sa RNA or SsrA, is named for its dual tRNA and mRNA-like properties. Its role is to liberate the mRNA from a stalled ribosome.
Source: RNAcentral
GGGGUUGACUGGAUUUGACAGCGGGCAGGAAUGGUACGUAAGCACGCGGAGGCUCGUUGGCUACCUCCUUAAUCCGAGUGAACAAAAAAUUAAUUGGCGAAAACAACUACGCUCUCGCUGCUUAGUCGAAGCACAGUAGACUGAAGCUUUAUUCUCCUACCAGGUAGGAGAACGAGACAUCGCUCAAGAGUCGUUGUUCCGAGACUUACUUGACCCAGCGGUGCAGCAAAAAUCGGGAAUAGCCUGCGGAAAGCCUCGUGCCACAGGUGAAGCUUUAGAGGAUAAGGCAUCGGAUUGGUGGUCCAGGUCUUGCCGGUGCACGAAAAUGAAGUCUGGAAUAAGCGUGUAGAAAGCGUAUGGUUUCCCCGUUUGGACGCGGGUUCGACUCCCUCCAGCUCCAC